ACAUCCAGAGAAUUUAGCAGAGAUGCUUUAGUGCCUUCGGGAACUCUGAGACAGGUGCUGCAUGGCUGUCGUCAGCUCGUGUUGUGAAAUGUUGGGUUAAGUCCCGCAACGAGCGCAACCCUUAUCCUUUGUUGCCAGCACGUAAUGGUGGGAACUCAAAGGAGACUGCCGGUGAUAAACCGGAGGAAGGUGGGGAUGACGUCAAGUCAUCAUGGCCCUUACGAGUAGGGCUACACACGUGCUACAAUGGCGCAUACAAAGAGAAGCGACCUCGCGAGAGCAAGCGGGCCUCAUAAAGUGCGUCGUAGUCCGGAUUGGAGUCUGCAACUCGACUCCAUGAAGUCGGAAUCGCUAGUAAUCGUAAAUCAGAAUGUUACGGUGAAUACGUUCCCGGGCCUUGUACACACCGCCCGUCACACCAUGGGAGUGGGUUGCAAAAGAAGUAGAUAGCUUAACCUUCGGGAGGGCGUUUACCACUUUGUGAUUCAUGACUGGGGUGAAGUCGUAACAAGGUAAGCGUAGUGCU
RNAcentral lists this ribosomal RNA (526 nucleotides) under uncultured bacterium. RNAcentral's name for it is "bacterial SSU rRNA". It matches the Rfam family "Bacterial small subunit ribosomal RNA", at positions 984 to 1509 of the family's 1533-position model. The record is from RNAcentral.